AUUUGCACGGCCGGAUAAAAAUACGUACCCGAUUUAAUCUGGUUAUUACUACUGCCCAGAAACUAGAAUAUGCAUAUAAUUAUUGGCUUUGGAUAGAAAACACCCUAAAGUUUCUAAAACUGUUUGAAUGGUGUCUGUGAGUAUAACAGAACUCAUAUGGCAGUCAAAACUCUGAGACAAAUCCUGACAGGAAACUGAAAUCUGAUGUGUGGAUAUCACUUCAAACAUUUGCCAUUGAAACACACAGGGGCUUGCGAUUCAUGUAGCACUUCCUAAAGCUUCCACUAGAUGUCCCCAGUCUUUACAAAGUGUUUUGAGCCUCCUACCAUCAAAAUUGACUCAAAGAGAGGAUGUUUACCUUGGUUACAGGAAAUGGGCCAUUACCAUUGUGACGUCGGCGCCCAUGGGUACUCUCCCUUUUCGAAACGUUUUGAAAGACAAUGCAACCAUCCCAAUGGAAUAUUAUUGAAGCCCUGGUUGAAAAAGCCCCUAAAGAUUUAUGUUAUACAACGUUUGACAUGUUUGAACGAACUUAAAUAUAUUUUUUUUGCUCAUUCCUGACGACAAGUCAGACGCACACGGUACAUUUUCACUAGCCUUCGGAGCGCGCUAACGCUAUUGGGACAUAAAUUAUUAACUUUUUUGAACAAAACUACAUUUGUUAUGGACCUGGGAUGCCUAGAAGUGCCUUCUGAUAAAGAUAAUCAGAGGCCACUUACAAAACCUGGUGGAAAACAUCAGGAAUGGUUACAGAGGUGGAGGCCCUGGCCGACACAAGUCGCGCUUCAGAGAAAUGGAUGACACUUGAAUCAGGAGCUGGGUCGGAUAUAGGAGCUAAAGUCAGGCUCCUUCAUGACCAGUAUCUGUGACAAGAGGGACCUGGAGCUGAUCUACACUGCCAUGCCCAUCAGGCAUGGCAAACACCUUCAGAAGGGACAAAAAAUGGAGGACAGAAAAGACGCUUUUGAAAUGGAGUCCUCUGAAUGAAAGACAGGUUGAUACUGAUAUCUGAAUUGGGACCGACCAAAUCAAAUCAAAUCAAAUCAAAUGUAUUUAUAUAGCCCUUCGUACAUCAGCUGAUAUCUCAAAGUGCUGUACAGAAACCCAGCCUAAAACCCCAAACAGCAAGCAAAGCAUGUGAAAGAAGCACGGUGGCUAGGAAAAACUCCCUAGGAAAAACUCCCUAGAAAGGCCAAAAACCUAGGAAGAAACCUAGAGAGGAACCAGGCUAUGAGGGGUGGCCAGUCCUCUUCUGGCUGUGCAGGGUGG
RNAcentral lists this long non-coding RNA (1269 nucleotides) under Salmo salar (Atlantic salmon). RNAcentral describes it as "lncRNA (ENSSSAG00000115035.1)". The record is from RNAcentral. Lineage: Eukaryota; Metazoa; Chordata; Actinopteri; Salmoniformes; Salmonidae.